Gallus gallus (chicken) is the source of this 88-nucleotide microRNA precursor. NCBI's taxonomy places the organism in Eukaryota, Metazoa, Chordata, Aves, Galliformes, Phasianidae. The record is from Ensembl.
CGGGCGGGGGCGCGGGGUGCUGAGCCGUCCUUUGGGGUCUCUCCCCGCGUGGGCCUCCCCCCGCUCAGCACCCCUCCGUCCCCGCAGU